This 919-nucleotide long non-coding RNA is filed under the name Chinchilla lanigera (long-tailed chinchilla). Its description in RNAcentral is "lncRNA (ENSCLAG00000026834.1)". Lineage: Eukaryota; Metazoa; Chordata; Mammalia; Rodentia; Chinchillidae. The record is from RNAcentral.
GCGGCAUCUCCUUGCAGCUGCCUGGAGGUGGGUCACAGGGCACGGCGCGCUGCAUUCUGUGACGGGGACCUGGGCCUCCCCCACCACAUGCAGGGCUGAGGAUCCAGGGCUCCAGGGACUGGGGGUGGAGUCCAGCACCAAGGAUGCGGCCAGGAGGCCCCUAAGCAGCCCCGAUGCUGGGUACUGUCUGGUGUCCCAGCCCCGCACCCCCUAGGGCCGUGGGACGUCAGCUCUGCAGGCUGCAGGACGUAGUAGGAAGCGGACAGUGCCAAGAUGGAGCUGUGCGUGGAUUUGGGGACCUUCAGGCCGCUUUGCAGAGCACAGGCUUGGGCCUCGAGGAGGACCGGUUUCCAGGAACAGCAGCAGCAGACAGGGGGCCGGCCGAGACUGACAGGGCCUGCGGAGCCGGAGGAAGGCUGGGGGCAGGGACACCACUCAGGACACCUGCAGGCUGGCGUCUCCACUGCCUGGACAUGGAGGCAGCCAGGACUGCCUGGCUGAAGACACGCAGGAAGGAGGACUCCAGAGCUGCUGCAGGAGGUGGCAGGGAUGAUGGGAAGAGUGUGUCUGAAGCGAAACAGAGGAUCUGAGGAGGCUGCACAGCAGUGGAACUGCCACCACAGAUUAGGACGUUGACCCAACAGGCUGCUAUGGAAAGAAGCAGGAAGCCGGAGGGAAAGUUCUGCUGCUCCGCUGCACCGCUGGGUGACAACAAUUAACAACAAUGAGCCUAAUACUUCACAGAAGCUGGAGAAGGGGUUGCCGAUGUUCCCACCAGGAAGAACCGAUCAAUGUCUGAGCGGGUGGAUCACCAAGUACCCUGAUUUGAUCCUUGCCCAAUGUGUGCAUUUGCUGAGAUAUCCCACUAUCCCACAUAAAUCUGUUCAAUUAUUACUUGUGAAUCAAAAAUAAAACAAAA